AGUUUGAUCCUGGCUCAGGAUGAACGCUGGCGGCGUGCUUAACACAUGCAAGUCGAACGAAGCACUUUUACAGAUUUCUUCGGAAUGAAGUUUUAGCGACUGAGUGGCGGACGGGUGAGUAACGCGUGGGUAACCUGUCUCAAAGAGGGGGACAACAGUUGGAAACGACUGCUAAUACCGCAUAAGCCCACGGCUCGGCAUCGAGCAGAGGGAAAAGGAGCAAUCCGCUUUGAGAUGGCCUCGCGUCCGAUUAGCUAGUUGGUGAGGUAAUGGCCCACCAAGGCGACGAUCGGUAGCCGGACUGAGAGGUUGAACGGCCACAUUGGGACUGAGACACGGCCCAGACUCCUACGGGAGGCAGCAGUGGGGAAUAUUGCACAAUGGGGGAAACCCUGAUGCAGCGACGCCGCGUGGAGGAAGAAGGUCUUCGGAUUGUAAACUCCUGUUGUUGAGGAAGAUAAUGACGGUACUCAACAAGGAAGUGACGGCUAACUACGUGCCAGCAGCCGCGGUAAAACGUAGGUCACAAGCGUUGUCCGGAAUUACUGGGUGUAAAGGGAGCGCAGGCGGGAGAACAAGUUGGAAGUGAAAUCCAUGGGCUCAACCCAUGAACUGCUUUCAAAACUGUUUUUCUUGAGUAGUGCAGAGGUAGGCGGAAUUCCCGGUGUAGCGGUGGAAUGCGUAGAUAUCGGGAGGAACACCAGUGGCGAAGGCGGCCUACUGGGCACCAACUGACGCUGAGGCUCGAAAGUGUGGGUAGCAAACAGGAUUAGAUACCCUGGUAGUCCACACCGUAAACGAUGAUUACUAGGUGUUGGAGGAUUGACCCCUUCAGUGCCGCAGUUAACACAAUAAGUAAUCCACCUGGGGAGUACGACCACAAGGU
This 886-nucleotide ribosomal RNA is filed under the name uncultured bacterium. RNAcentral's name for it is "bacterial SSU rRNA". It matches the Rfam family "Bacterial small subunit ribosomal RNA", at positions 10 to 894 of the family's 1533-position model. The record is from RNAcentral.